CAGCAGCCACGGGAACACAUAGGGUGCAAGCGUUAAUCGGAAUUACUGGGCGUAAAGCGUGCGCAGGCGGUUUGUUAAGACAGAUGUGAAAUCCCCGGGCUCAACCUGGGAACUGCAUUUGUGACUGGCAAGCUAGAGUCUGGCAGAGGGGGGUGGAAUUCCGCGUGUAGCGGUGAAAUGCGUAGAUAUGCGGAGGAACACCGAUGGCGAAGGCAGCCCCCUGGGCCAACACCGACGCUCAUGCACGAAAGCGUGGGGAGCAAACAGGAUUAGAUACCCGCGUAGUCCCUGUCUCUUAUAC
This 301-nucleotide ribosomal RNA is filed under the name uncultured bacterium. Its description in RNAcentral is "partial 16S ribosomal RNA". It matches the Rfam family "Bacterial small subunit ribosomal RNA", at positions 509 to 807 of the family's 1533-position model. The record is from RNAcentral.